GCCCGGCUAGCUCAAUCGGUAGAGCGUGAGACUCUUAAAGGAGUUACUCCGUAAUCUCAAGGUUGUGGGUUCGACCCCCACGUCGGGCU
This 89-nucleotide transfer RNA is filed under the name Neurospora tetrasperma FGSC 2509. It matches the Rfam family "tRNA". From Rfam's summary of the family: Transfer RNA (tRNA) molecules are approximately 80 nucleotides in length. The record is from Rfam by way of RNAcentral. Lineage: Eukaryota; Fungi; Ascomycota; Sordariomycetes; Sordariales; Sordariaceae.